Molecule: ribosomal RNA, 311 nt
Filed under: uncultured bacterium
Lineage: Bacteria
Description: bacterial SSU rRNA
Rfam family: Bacterial small subunit ribosomal RNA
Source: RNAcentral
AACGAACGCUGGCGGCGCGCCUAAUACAUGCAAGUCGAGCGAGAAGACGUAGCAAUACGUUUGUAAAGCGGCGAACGGGUGAGGAAUACAUGGGUAACCUACCCUCGAGUGGGGAAUAACUAGCCGAAAGGUUAGCUAAUACCGCGUACGCUCCUUGGACUUCGGUUCAGGGAGGAAAGCGAUACCGUGGGUAUCGCGCUCUUGGAUGGGCUCAUGUCCUAUCAGCUUGUUGGUGAGGUAACGGCUCACCAAGGCUUCGACGGGUAGCUGGUCUGAGAGGACGAUCAGCCACACUGGCACUGCGACACGGG